UGGGGUAUAGCCAAGCGGUAAGGCAACAGACUUUGACUCUGUUACGCGUUGGUUCGAAUCCAGCUACCCCAG
RNAcentral lists this transfer RNA (72 nucleotides) under Aerococcaceae bacterium DSM 111021. RNAcentral's name for it is "tRNA-Gln". It matches the Rfam family "tRNA". From Rfam's summary of the family: Transfer RNA (tRNA) molecules are approximately 80 nucleotides in length. Their secondary structure includes four short double-helical elements and three loops (D, anti-codon, and T loops). Further hydrogen bonds mediate the characteristic L-shaped molecular structure. tRNAs have two regions of fundamental functional importance: the anti-codon, which is responsible for specific mRNA codon recognition, and the 3' end, to which the tRNAs corresponding amino acid is attached (by aminoacyl-tRNA synthetases). tRNAs cope with the degeneracy of the genetic code in two manners: having more than one tRNA (with a specific anti-codon) for a particular amino acid; and 'wobble' base-pairing, i.e. permitting non-standard base-pairing at the 3rd anti-codon position. The record is from RNAcentral. Lineage: Bacteria; Bacillati; Bacillota; Bacilli; Lactobacillales; Aerococcaceae.